CAAAUAACUGCCACCCAGAUUGAUCA
RNAcentral lists this non-coding RNA (26 nucleotides) under Homo sapiens (human). Lineage: Eukaryota; Metazoa; Chordata; Mammalia; Primates; Hominidae. The record is from RNAcentral.